AAGGGUGCGUAGGCGGCCUGUUAAGUCAGGGGUGAAAGACGGUAGCUCAACUAUCGCAGUGCCCUUGAUACUGAUGGGCUUGAAUUGACUAGAGGUAGGCGGAAUGUGACAAGUAGCGGUGAAAUGCAUAGAUAUGUCACAGAACACCGAUUGCGAAGGCAGCUUACUAUGGUCUUAUUGACGCUGAGGCACGAAAGCGUGGGGAUCAAACAGGAUUAGAUACCCCUUGU
Molecule: ribosomal RNA, 230 nt
Filed under: uncultured bacterium
Lineage: Bacteria
Description: partial 16S ribosomal RNA
Rfam family: Bacterial small subunit ribosomal RNA
Source: RNAcentral